Long non-coding RNA from Gasterosteus aculeatus aculeatus (three-spined stickleback), 721 nucleotides. NCBI's taxonomy places the organism in Eukaryota, Metazoa, Chordata, Actinopteri, Perciformes, Gasterosteidae. The record is from Ensembl.
GGCCAUUGUGCGAGCACAGAGGGAGAACACUGAGUGGAAGAUGGGGGCCGGGAAUGUGCUUGGCAGGCUGUACAAUGGGAACAAGGUUGUCAGUCUCAAAUGAUGCUUUCAUAAUCAACACAUUGGAGCCGGGUUGCUGCACAGAAUGAGAAUAUCAGCGAUGUCAAUGAAGAACUGCAUCGCUGGGUGGGAGAAGAAUUGCUGACACUUUAGGGUCAGUUUGCGUUUUAGGCAACUUCAAAACCACUGCUGUGAAAAACCUGUGGACGCCGCGCAGCACUCAAGCUUCACCCAACGCCUUUUCUCCAGAGUGCAGCGGAUGCUGGCGGAGAUAAAAACAGUGCAACCAAACACUGCAAUUUUGCUGAAAGUAUGUAUUUAGUAAGAAGAAUGUGUUUUGAGGGAAAAGAAAACAUGGACCUCCCCUCCCCCCCCUAAAAGUAGACAAAGGAAUACAUAAUUCUACAAUAUUAUGCAUUCUACAAUAAUUCACGUUUCAUUAAUGCACAUGAGUAAUUCAGCUUCUUUCCGGGAGUUUUUUUUGUGCUUUCUCCCCUGGCAGGUCUCCGUUGAUCGUAGUUCCUUCUGGACCCUGGUCCUGACACCUGCCGUGGCCAUGCUGACGCCUGCUGCUGCCAUCAUCAUCAUCAUUAUUAUUAUUUUAGAUAUUAAUCAUAUUACUGUACUCAUAAACCGACAUUACCCUCUCCUAAAGUCUCUG